UAACAUGAUGGUGUCCAGUU
This 20-nucleotide non-coding RNA is filed under the name Rattus norvegicus (Norway rat). The record is from RNAcentral. Lineage: Eukaryota; Metazoa; Chordata; Mammalia; Rodentia; Muridae.